Arachis duranensis is the source of this 569-nucleotide long non-coding RNA. RefSeq lists it as uncharacterized. NCBI's taxonomy places the organism in Eukaryota, Viridiplantae, Streptophyta, Magnoliopsida, Fabales, Fabaceae. The record is from RefSeq and is a predicted model, not a curated record. The transcript has 3 exons.
GACCCGUGGGUCCAACCGGACCCAAACACUUAAAUGAGGCCGCAGCUCUUUUCUUCCUCACAAGCUGCUGCGACGCCAUUACAGCAAGGGAGGGAGAGGAAAUUCACAAACCCUCACCAUUCCUUCCAACUACCAUAACUUCCUCAUCCAGGCUCCGAUCGUCGCACCGUUUGCGGCCACGUGUCGGGCUCGUCGAGCUCUUCAAUUAUAUCCAAACAAAAUAGGGUCCACUAGACUUGAUUUCUUGUGGGUAUUGCCCAAGGAUCAGUGGGUAAAGAUGCAGGUCGAGAGGCUCCUCGCUAGGCGUCUGGAUUCUGGAAAGCGAAGUAGUCCUUGGGUGUAUUUUGGUUUCUAUUUGUAUAUAUGUAUAUGUGUGUAGCUUACUCUCCAAGUAACUUAUGUAUGCUACUCUUCUUAGAGGUUGAGGGAGAGAUAGGAGUUUACUUUGGUAUUUUGGUAUAUUUUGGGGACACUUAUGUAUGUUUAUAUGUAUAUAUGUAUCCUCCGGCCAGCCUUAGCUUCGCAGGCUGAGUCAGAGGCUAGUUAUGCUGUUCCUUGGCUUUUCUUUA